GAUGAACACUGGCGGCGUGCCUAAUACAUGCAAGUCGAGCGAACGGACGAGAAGCUUGCUUCUCUGAUGUUAGCGGCGGACGGGUGAGUAACACGUGGAUAACCUACCUAUAAGACUGGGAUAACUUCGGGAAACCGGAGCUAAUACCGGAUGAUAUUUUGAACCGCAUGGUUCAAAAGUGAAAGACGGUCUUGCUGUCACUUAUAGAUGGAUCCGCGCUGCAUUAGCUAGUUGGUAAGGUAACGGCUUACCAAGGCAACGAUGCAUAGCCGACCUGAGAGGGGGAUCCGGCACAACGGAACCUGGACAAGGGCCAGACUCCUACGGGAGGCAGCAGUAGGGAAUCUUCCGCAAUGGGCGAAAGCCUGACGGAGCAACGCCGCGUGAGUGAUGAAGGUCUUCGGAUCGUAAAACUCUGUUAUUAGGGAAGAACAUAUGUGUAAGUAACUGUGCACAUCUUGACGGUACCUAAUCAGAAAGCCACGGCUAACUACGUG
RNAcentral lists this ribosomal RNA (497 nucleotides) under uncultured bacterium. RNAcentral describes it as "partial 16S ribosomal RNA". It matches the Rfam family "Bacterial small subunit ribosomal RNA", at positions 28 to 507 of the family's 1533-position model. The record is from RNAcentral.